GAAAAUGCGAUAUGCAGUGUGAAUUGCAGAACCACGAAUCAUCGGAUAUUUGAACGUAACUAGCGCUAGUAUACCUAGCAUGUUUGGUUCAGUGUGCGCAACAAACUAUCUAAGCAAAGUGUUGGAGAAGUUCUCCAAUCAAGUUCAUGCUCUCAGUAGCAGUCGGAGAAAUCUGAGCACUGAUUGAUAAAUGUCUUAUUUGCACCUGAACUCAAGCAAGAUGACCCGCUGGACUUAA
This 238-nucleotide unclassified non-coding RNA is filed under the name uncultured fungus. Its description in RNAcentral is "sequence contains ITS1". The stretch from base 1 to 97 matches the Rfam family "5.8S ribosomal RNA", at positions 49 to 154 of the family's 154-position model. Lineage: Eukaryota; Fungi. The record is from RNAcentral.